RNAcentral lists this long non-coding RNA (2050 nucleotides) under Ananas comosus (pineapple). RNAcentral describes it as "long non-coding RNA (ACOM_LNC015036)". The record is from RNAcentral. Lineage: Eukaryota; Viridiplantae; Streptophyta; Magnoliopsida; Poales; Bromeliaceae.
AGACCCUUUAACAUCUUUCGAAAAUGUCAAAUCAAAUCCGCCGGCUGUUAAGAUCUAUGCCACCGUGAUUAUCUUCGCCGUCGUCAUCUCUAACCUUAUCUGUUCGGUGUUUUCGAAAGAAGAGGGGAGGGGAAUCAAAGAUUCCCCGUUUCUUCAGACCCUUCAAUCCCUUUCGAGAACAUUAAAUCAAUCCACAAAACUUUCAAACCAGUUCAGAUUCAAGCCACAUCAAGAUCAAAACGGAAAUUUCUUCGGACCCCAAAUCGAGAUCAAGCGGGGAUUUUUUCGGACCCCAAAUCGAGAUCAAACGGGGAUUUCUUCGGACCCCAAAUCGAGAUCAAACAGGAAUUUCUUUGGACCCCAAAUCGAAAUCAAACGGGAAUUUCUUCGGACCCCAAAUCAAGAUCAAAACGGGAAUUUCUUCAAACCCAAAAUCAAAUUAGAAUCAAAAGGAGAUUUCGUCGGACUCCAAAUCGAAUUGCAAAAUUAAAAGAGAAUUUUCUCGGACCCGAAAUAGAAUUGAAAAAAAAACUAAGUCCACAAAUAAAACCCAAAUCCAAACCCAAAAUCCAAACCUAAACCCAUAAAACCCAAAUCCAACCCAAGUCCACAAAUAAAAACUCCAAACCAAAACCUAAAUAAAAAAAACCCAAAACCAAACCAAGUCCACAAAUAAAACUUGAACCUGAACCCAAAUCCAUAAACCUAACCUCAUGAACCAUAUACCAAGUUCAUGAACUACGAACCAUAUCCAUGAACCUUACCGAAGUUCGUGAACCAAAUCUCAUGAACCAUACCCAAGUUCAUGAACCACAUCAUACUCAAGUUCAUGAAUCAAAUCUCAUACACCAAAUCUAUGAACCAUGAACCAAGUUCAUGAACUAUACACCAUAUCCCAUGGACCAUACCUAGGUUCAUGAACCAAGUCACAUGAACCAUAAACCAACCCUCAUAAAUCAUACACCAAGUUCAUGAAUUAUAAACCAAGUUCAUGAACCGUACCGUAUGAAUCAUGAACUAAAUCCCAUGAACCAUGAACCAAGUUCAUGAACUAUAAACCAUAUCCAUAAACCAUACACCAAUCCAUGAACCAUACACCAUAUCCCAUGAACCAUACCUAAGUUCAUGAACCAUGAACCAAGUCCAUAAACUAAGUCCAUAAAGCAAAUCUAUGAACCAUAUCCAAGUUCAUGAACCAAAUUCCAUACACCAAACCCAAUGGACCAUAUCCAAGUUCAUGAAACAAAUCCAAUAACCGAACACCAUGAACCAUACCCAAGUUCAUGACUCAAGUCUCAUGUUCAUAAACCAUAAACCAAACCUCAUGAACCAUACCCAAGUUCAUAAACCAUGAACCAAACCUCAUGAGCCAUACACCAAGUUCAUGAACUAUAAACCAAACCCCAUAAACCAUGGACCAAAUUCAUGAACCCAAUCCCAUAAACCAUACCCAAGUUCAUGAACUAAAUAUCAUGAACCAUACAUCAAACCCUAUGAGUUAUAAACCUCAUGAACUAUACACCACAUCCCAUGAACCAAAUUUCAUAUGCCAAACUUUAUGAACCAUACCCAAGUUCAUGAACCAAACCAAAUUCUAUGAGCCAUACACCAAACCAUGUCCAAAUCUCAUGAACUCUACCCAAAUCUCAUGAACCAUAAGCCAUACCCAAGUUCAUGAACCAAACCCCAUAAACCAUACCCAAGUUCAUGAACCAAACAAACCUAACCCCAUGAACCAUGAACCAAGUUCAUGAACCAAAUCUCAUGAACCAUACACCAAUUCCAUACAUGAACCAAACAAACCUAACCCCAUGAACCAUAAACCAAGUUCAUGAACCAAAUCCCAUGAACCAUACACCAAUUCCAUACAUUAACCAAACAAACCAAACCCCAUAAACAAUACACCAUGUUCAUGAACCAUAAACUAAAUCUCAUGAACCAUGAACCAAAUCCCAUAUACCAAAUCCUAUACACCAAAUCUCAUGAACCAUACAUCAAGCUCAUGCCCAAAGUUCAUCAUAAACUUUUUCUUUACUCUAGCUCAUAUACU